AGCAGUCGCCGCGGGAAUACGAAGGGGGCUAGCGUUGUUCGGAUUUACUGGGCGUAAAGGGCGCGUAGGCGGACUGAUAAGUCAGGGGUGAAAUCCCAAGGCUCAACCUUGGAACUGCCUUUGAUACUGCUUGUCUUGAGUUCGAGAGAGGUAAGUGGAACUGCGAGUGUAGAGGUGAAAUUCGUAGAUAUUCGCAAGAACACCAGUGGCGAAGGCGGCUCACUGGCCCGAUACUGACGCUGAGGCACGAAAGCUGGGGGAGCAAAUGGGAUUAGAUACCCCUGUAGUCCCUGUCUCUUAUAC
This 303-nucleotide ribosomal RNA is filed under the name uncultured bacterium. RNAcentral describes it as "partial 16S ribosomal RNA". It matches the Rfam family "Bacterial small subunit ribosomal RNA", at positions 507 to 807 of the family's 1533-position model. The record is from RNAcentral.